AGCAAAAACCUCCUAGCAAAGGAGGAGAGGAGGUUGUGCGGGACAAGCUUCUCCUGACGGAAGGAUGUCGCUGCUGAGCCUGUCCUGGCCGGGCUUCGGGCCGGUGGCAACAUCCCCGUGGCUGCUCCUGCUGCUGGUCGGGGCCUCUUGGCUCUUGGCCCACAUCCUGGCCUGGACCUACGCCUUCUAUGACAACUGCCGCCGCCUCCGGUGUUUCCCGCAGCCCCCGAAACAGAACUGGUUCUUGGGUCACCUGGGCCUGGUCACCCCCACAGAGGAGGGCUUGAGGGCCCUGACCCAGCUGGUGGCCACCUACCCCCAGGGCUUUGUGAGGUGGUUGGGCCCCAUCUUUCCCAUCAUCAAUUUGUGCCACCCCGACAUCGUCCGAUCUGUCAUCGAUACCUCAGAUGCCAUUACAGACAAGGACAUAGUCUUCUACAAGUCCCUGAAGCCCUGGCUGGGUAAGUAACUGUAGGUGGACGGGAUGGGGACCAAAUUUGUGGCCAGGGGAAGGUUCUGCCCUUGCCCACAGCCUUUGGCUGCCCUACUAGGGGAUGGGCUCUUGACAAGUGUUGGUGACAAGUGGAGACACCACCGUCGCAUGCUGACGCCUGCCUUCCAUUUCAACAUCCUGAAGCCCUAUAUAAAGAUUUUCAGCAAGAGUGCGAACAUCAUGCAUGCCAAGUGGCAACGCCUGGCCAUGGAGGGCAGCACCCGUCUGGACAUGUUUGAGCACAUCAACCUUAUGACCCUGGACAGUCUGCAGAAAUGCAUCUUCAGCUUUGACAGCAAUUGUCAGGAGAAGCCCAGUGAAUAUAUUACUGCGAUCAUGGAGCUCAGUGCCCUUGUAGUGAAACGGAAUAACCAGUUCUUCCGGUACAACGACUUCCUGUACUUCCUCACUCCCUGUGGACGGCGCUUCCGCAGGGCCUGCCGACUGGUGCAGGACUUCACAGAUGCCGUCAUCCAGGAGCGGCGCCGCACCCUCACUAGCCAGGGCGUUGAUGACUUCCUCCAAGCCAAAACUAAGUCCAAGACUUUGGACUUCAUUGAUGUGCUCCUGCUGAGCAAGGAUAAAAAUGGGAAAGAGUUGUCAGAUGAGGACAUAAGAGCAGAAGCUGACACUUUCAUGUUUGGAGGCCAUGACACCACGGCCAGUGGCCUCUCCUGGGUCUUGUACAACCUCGCGAGGCACACAGAAUACCAAGAACGCUGCCGGCAGGAGGUGCAAGAGCUUCUGAAGGACCGUGAGCCUAAAGAGAUUGAAUGGGACGACCUGGCCCAGUUGCCCUUCCUGACCAUGUGCUUGAAGGAGAGCCUGCGGUUGCAUCCCCCAGUCCCUAUGUUCACCCGCGGCUGCACCCAGGACGUGGUGCUCCCAGACAGCCGGGUCAUCCCCAAAGGUCUAUGACCCCUUCCGCUUCGACCCAGAAAACGCCCAGAAGAGGUCACCUAUGGCUUUUAUUCCUUUCUCGGCGGGGCCCAGGAACUGCAUCGGGCAGAAGUUCGCGAUGGCAGA
Molecule: small RNA, 1519 nt
Filed under: Pongo abelii (Sumatran orangutan)
Lineage: Eukaryota; Metazoa; Chordata; Mammalia; Primates; Hominidae
Description: retained intron
Source: RNAcentral